CCUACGGGAGGCAGCAGUGAGGAAUAUUGGUCAAUGGACGAGAGUCUGAACCAGCCAAGUAGCGUGAAGGAUGACUGCCCUAUGGGUUGUAAACUUCUUUUAUCUGGGAAUAAAAUGUUCCACGUGUGGGAGUUUGUAUGUACCAUAUGAAUAAGGAUCGGCUAACUCCGUGCCAGCAGCCGCGGUAAUCCGGAGGAUCCGAGCGUUAUCCGGAUUUAUUGGGUUUAAAGGGUGCGUAGGUGGACUGUUAAGUCAGUUGUGAAAGUUUGCGGCUCAACCGUAAAAGUGCAGUUGAAACUGGCAGUCUGGAGUACGGUAGAGGUAGGCGGAAUGCGUGGUGUAGCGGUGAAAUGCUUAGAUAUCACGAAGAACUCCGAUUGCGAAGGCAGCUUACUGGACUGCAACUGACGCUGAGGCUCGAAAGUGUGGGUAUCGAACAGGAUUAGAUACCCCUGUAGUC
Molecule: ribosomal RNA, 460 nt
Filed under: uncultured bacterium
Lineage: Bacteria
Description: partial 16S ribosomal RNA
Rfam family: Bacterial small subunit ribosomal RNA
Source: RNAcentral